UUAAUGAAUGUCAAGAAUAUUAUUGUAAAAAUAAAGAAAAAAAUAAAAAUAAGAAUAUAACAUACUUAACAUAAGAAUACAACGUACUUAACACCUAAGAUGUUUUGAGAUAUUUUUUAAAAGAUAAGAAUUAAACAAAUAUUUAAAUUAAAAUAUAAAGAACAAACAAGCAUCUAACGUAUUCUAAGAUUUUUUUUUUUUUUUCUAUCCAAAUUGAUAACCUAAUAUUAUUAUCGUUCAUUUCAUAAUAAAGCAUUAUCUUCAAAAUGACCUUGAGCCUUAUCAUUGAAAUAGAAUGUUAAUUAGUUAAUUCAAUGAAUCUGCUAUGUAAUUUUCUGAGCUAUCCGAAGAAAUCAUAUCACAUGCAAAACUUAUACGUCAAACGAUCGGGGCGCCAGGCACCAACCUCCACAUCCAUUGAACAAAUUACGUCUUUGUCACGUCAUCAACUUCAAUGUCGAUUAAAGUAAAUAGAAGUCGCGGAUAUUUUAAUUUUCAAAUUAAAACAGCUAGUUAACGAAUUGACGAACCUCGUGUUCACACAAUGCUACCAUCAUGCAUACAUGACGACAUUAAUUAGAUUUCAUUUCAUUUUGUUUUUUUUUUAAUUUUGCUUUGAUUCCCAUCAGAACAUUUGGCAGCUCUUCCGGAAAAUCAUGCUUAUUUUCAGUGAAACUUGAAUUUCUUUAAUACUAAGCGUUUCGUUUCGUUUUGUUUUUGGUUGCCAUGCAUGAAAAACAUUUGGCAACAAAUCCGUAAAACCAUUCUUUCAGUUUUCAUUUGCUUAACGUUCAUGAAAAGAUUUGACAGAAAUUCCGAAAAAUCAUUCACCAAGUGCUUCUUCGUAUAACCCCAAUUCAUAAAAUAGUUACAAUAUUUUGGUAAUACCUAGUAAUGCAAUAUUGUUUGUUUGGUUGGUGCAACAUUAUGCAUUGAUAAACCUAGUAUUCUUUUAGAAUUUAGACUAUAAUCGUUCAUUUAAAGGGAAAAAUAAAAUAAAAACAAAUACGAUGGUAAGUCCAUGUUAUCUUUGAUUUUGCAGAUGCUUAAGUUACUUUUUAAGAAGUUUCAAGCUAAAUGCGAGAAAGUCAAUGUUGUCGUGUAUUAAUUCUAAAAGAAUACUCAUUAAUAAACCAUUCGUUCCGCUUCGAGAUUUCCACUUUCUUUGUUUUCGUCCAUUUUUUGCAAAGAGAAAUUGCAUAUUUUUUUUUAUAUGGAAUUAUUAUCACGUUUUGAUUUCAACUUUCCUUAUCUCGUUUGACGUGUGUAUAUUUUUAUAAUAUAUAGAGUCAAAUUUAUAGUUUUAGUCCAUUCUUAUUUCAUAAUUAACAACCACAGAUCUCCAUUUUGAUCUUAUUGUAAUCUUAUGCGCCACAACAAAUAUUAAUCACAACCUUUGAAAAAAAAAAAAAAAAACUCGCCACAAUCUCAUGCCAACAUACUGAAUCCCAAAUAAAUUAAAGUAAGGGUAAAUGCCAGUUUAAAAAAUCUCUAUAUUUUUAAUUUACGUAUUUGUUUGAUCUCGAUAUUUUAAAAAAAAAUACCUGAAGGCACUACUACUGUUACUAAACUUAUUCUCUUUUUCUUUUACAAUGAUUUAUAAUAAAUCCUUACAACAAUAUACUUAGAGUGUUAAUGAAAAGAAAAAAAUAAUAAAUUACUAUAAUAGCCUUGAAAGUAGCACAAAAAUUUACCUAAAUUCUCAUAUUAUCAUUUUAAUUUUAAGGAUUAAUUUGGAAAAUUAAUU
RNAcentral lists this long non-coding RNA (1747 nucleotides) under Citrus x clementina. RNAcentral describes it as "Citrus clementina (C. clementina) long non-coding RNA (CCLE_LNC003259)". The record is from RNAcentral. Lineage: Eukaryota; Viridiplantae; Streptophyta; Magnoliopsida; Sapindales; Rutaceae.